AAGCUUUUAAAGGUAAAACGUGCCGAUCAUUUAUAUGUAUUGUUUCUUUUUCUCUUAUCACAGCUUUUAAGGAAAAAGAAAGAAAAAGUCUAUUUCCAAAUAUAUUUCCCGGGAAGAUCUGAAUUCUUCAGGUAAUUUGAUGAUGGACCCUAAUACGUGUGAGAUCCUGUGCCCAGUGAAGCCCGGUUUACAAGAGAGCAGCCAAGGAGAUCUUUUGCAGUUAAUGAGUCCCCACGCAGCUGGACAGCUCCUCUCGGACACUGAGAACUCUAACCCCAAAAUGACCCCAAUUUGACACCGCAAGAUGAAAUUUUACCGCCUGUUAAAACCAUUUCCAGCCUGAGCAAAAGGAGCUGACUGUUGACGGAGGUGUGUGCCGCCUCCUGCGACCCCCAUCUCACGCCUGUCUCCUGGGCCUGCCCCACCUACUUUUCCUUUACCCCAAAUGUGGGCGAGCAGAUGAGCCUCACAGCCCGGGCGGGGUUGCGGAGGCUGAGAAUGGAGCAUCAGCAAUGUUCUAUCAGACUAGAAAUCAGAAAGCCGGCGUACCCCACUGCUUUGGAAUAGCUUCUGUAGGACUGCAAAAUUGGGGGUUAGGGGAGACUAUGGAGUUCUUAAACGUUUUUCAGCUCUAUUAAUAAAACAACAGCAAGUUGGUGAUUAAAAGUAAUAGUCCUUUGAAGUCAUCAGAUUGACCAAGAACCGACAUCGUGAAUCACCUCCAACUUGAUCUUGUGUGUAAUCCAUCGCACUGAGAUGCUGUUUUAAACUAACGGUUUCAUAAAUUACAUGCAACUAGGUAACUGAAAUCUCUUUAGUCGAAUGAAAUUCGAGGUUCUCCUCUUAAGCAACUGAUGAAUUUUUAAAUGACAAGAGAUUUUCCUCCAGAAGGACUUCACUUUUAACACUUUCACACUUCUUAACUAAAGUCUUUGGAGUUUAAGUAUCAUUGUUUUUUUUCUUUAACACUACCUCAAAAUGUCCAUUUCUCUCUUCUUCCCACAUUUAAACAGAUUGUCCCAGUUAUUUGCUUUAAUGUUUUCAAUAAAAUGCAAAAGAAGUUACGGGAUAUUAGAGAGAGAGAGAAAGAAAGGAAGAAAGGAGUUCGGGUUAAAAUGCCUUCUGCAUUGCCCAAAGGAUGAAAACACAUGAAAAUAGAGUUUGAACUUUUUUCUUUUGUAAAGCCCAAGAUUACAACGGAGUAAUCAAGCCAUUACUAGCUUAACAAUUAUUUGAAAAUACAGAAAUCUUCAACCUGUCUGAAUUGCUUUUACUUGGAUACACUGCCACUGAAGAAACAUUAAAAAAAAAAACUAGUGUAGUAUUUCUAAAGAAAGGCUGUAGGAAUGAUAACUCACUUCAGAGUACCAUGGAAGAAGUGAUGGUAAAAGCAGCGGAAGAUAGCAACUUUGAAUGUUUAAACUCUGCGAUGCAGAGGUUCGGUUCGACGUUGAUUUUUACAAAAGAAGCAUCUAUCAAGUAAAUUGAGUGUCUUUUUAAAAAGAAAAGUAAUUGGUGCUUACUAUGCCGGACACUUAAAACAACAAUAACCCUACUGGCGACAACAAAUACGCAAUAUUGAAAAUAAGAACAGUUAGAAAAGUCAAAACUGAAAAAUUGAGUAUAAACUUCUCAGCUAGCGGCGCUACACCGGGACCGUGGAUCCAUCAAUAUAAAGACCUCUGCAAAGUCGAAAAAGCUCCGCAGCGAGACUAGUUUGUUUGUUUGUUUUCUCUCAUCCUUCCCGCCCCGGCUAAAAAUGAAUUCGCAUAACUGCCUCUUGAAAUAAAAUUCUGGAAGCCA
Molecule: long non-coding RNA, 1803 nt
Organism: Camelus dromedarius (Arabian camel)
Lineage: Eukaryota; Metazoa; Chordata; Mammalia; Artiodactyla; Camelidae
Exons: 2
Source: RefSeq, a predicted model, not a curated record